GCUUGUCUCAAAGAUUAAGCCAUGCAUGUCUAAGUAUAAACGACUUUAUACUGUGAAACUGCGAAUGGCUCAUUAUAUCAGUUAUAGUUUAUUUGAUGGUUCUUACUACUUGGAUAACCGUAGUAAUUCUAGAGCUAAUACAUGCAUAAAACCCCAACUUCUGGAAGGGGUGUAUUUAUUAGAUGGAAACCAAUGCGGGGUAACCCGGAAUUCGGUGAUUCAUAAUAACUUUCGGACCGAAUUUAUUCGGUACAUCAUUCAAGUUUCUGCCCUAUCAGCUUUGGAUGGUAGGGUAUUGGCCUACCAUGGCUUUAACGGGUAACGGAGAAUUAGGGUUCGAUUCCGGAGAGGGAGCCUGAGAAAUGGCUACCACAUCCAAGGAAGGCAGCAGG
RNAcentral lists this ribosomal RNA (392 nucleotides) under uncultured Chrysophyceae. RNAcentral's name for it is "partial small subunit ribosomal RNA". It matches the Rfam family "Eukaryotic small subunit ribosomal RNA", at positions 30 to 432 of the family's 1831-position model. The record is from RNAcentral. Lineage: Eukaryota; Chrysophyceae.